GCGGCGACGUUUUGGGCAAUGGCUCCUUCACAGAAGGCCUCUCGAUGUGCUGUGAAGAAGGGCCAUUGCCUGAAACGUUGCGUA
This 84-nucleotide microRNA precursor is filed under the name Petromyzon marinus (sea lamprey). RNAcentral's name for it is "microRNA pma-mir-4623 precursor". The record is from miRBase by way of RNAcentral. Lineage: Eukaryota; Metazoa; Chordata; Hyperoartia; Petromyzontiformes; Petromyzontidae.